RNAcentral lists this ribosomal RNA (253 nucleotides) under uncultured bacterium. RNAcentral's name for it is "partial 16S ribosomal RNA". It matches the Rfam family "Bacterial small subunit ribosomal RNA", at positions 524 to 776 of the family's 1533-position model. The record is from RNAcentral.
UACGUAGGGGGCAAGCGUUGUCCGGAUUCAUUGGGCGUAAAGAGCGUGUAGGCGGCCAGGUAGGUCGGUUGUGAAAACUGGAGGCUCAACCUUCAGACGUCGACCCAAACCCCCUGGCUAGAGUCCGGAAGAGGAGAGUGGAAUUCCUGGUGUAGCGGUGAAAUGCGCAGAUAUCAGGAGGAACACCGGUGGCGAAGGCGGUUCUCUGGGCAUUACCUGACGCUGAGGAGCGAAAGUGUGGGGAGCGAACAGG